This 82-nucleotide transfer RNA is filed under the name Microcaldota archaeon. RNAcentral describes it as "tRNA-Ser". It matches the Rfam family "tRNA". From Rfam's summary of the family: Transfer RNA (tRNA) molecules are approximately 80 nucleotides in length. Their secondary structure includes four short double-helical elements and three loops (D, anti-codon, and T loops). The record is from RNAcentral. Lineage: Archaea; Nanobdellati; Microcaldota.
GCCGAGGUGGCAGAAUGGCAAUGCGCUAGCCUUGAGAGCUAGUUCCCGCAAGGGAUUGCGAGUUCGACUCUCGUCCUCGGCG